This is a long non-coding RNA of Poecile atricapillus (Black-capped chickadee), 328 nucleotides long. RefSeq lists it as uncharacterized. The record is from RefSeq and is a predicted model, not a curated record. NCBI's taxonomy places the organism in Eukaryota, Metazoa, Chordata, Aves, Passeriformes, Paridae. The transcript is spliced from 3 exons.
UCUGCACCCUGGAAAGCAAAAUCCAAGUCUGCCGUGAUGAGUUUACUCGGGUCAGCCGGGGCGCUUCGCGUGCUCGUAACAAUUUGUUCGGAGUGUGCUAACAGGACAGAAUUGCAGCAAUCCUUGUGAGGGGGAGGUCUGGAGGGAUUUGGUCAUGGAUGCUGCCAAAUGUGGGUCACAUCCCAUAUUUUUCUCCACAGAAUUUAUCAUCUGGAUAGACUUUGUCAACAGAUCUUUCUUAGGGUAGAGUACACCUGGACUGGUGAAGAGACAUGGAGCUGGAUGCUGGCACUUGGUGUUUGGAGUUUACUCAGCAGUGGGAGAAGGC